Molecule: long non-coding RNA, 1907 nt
Organism: Cavia porcellus (domestic guinea pig)
Lineage: Eukaryota; Metazoa; Chordata; Mammalia; Rodentia; Caviidae
Exons: 11
Source: RefSeq, a predicted model, not a curated record
CCAGCCCUGGAAACCAACCCCCAAUCACACUCGCUCCUCUAAGAACAAGAUGAUUUAUCUCCCACUCUGAGUCUGUGGUCCCACCCCUCCUCUUCUGUCUGGACUUCCAAGAGCUGGUCACCCCCUCCAGCUCUCAGCCUUCAUCUUCCAAUUGUCACUUUCUCCUUCACCACUAAGAUCUGGAUUUUUGAUUAGUUGGGCAGACUAGGUUAGGGGGCCAGAGGGAAGAACACCCCAAACUGUCACGUGGCAGACCAUGUCCUCUUUCUGUGACUUCUUAUCAGCUCCCUUCCCCAGCCUUCUCUUUCCUAGCAUUUAAUCACUCUCUGAAGUUUAAAAGUGAAUUAAAACUCAAAGGAGCCUGGGGACAAGGGUACUUCUGUCACACCCUUUCUCUCCUUUCCUUUGGGGACAAGGGUGACCUGGAAGAACAAUAGCGUCCCUCAACCCCUUCUACCAGCCUCAGGGAGAGCAGCAAGAGAAAGAAAGAGAGAAGCAAAUGAAAUUCCUGAAUGGAUAGACAGAUGCUACGUCACCGGAGCCGCAUCCUCCACUCCACAAGAGGCUAGGAGCUGGGGGGAGACAGGCAGUCCAGCUGCAGGGGCCACCGUGCUGCCUCGCCUCUUCACAGGAGCCUGACUCGGCAGGUUUUAAGGGAAGAAAAAGUCUGAGAGACCCACGUUUCCAGGAAGGAGCUGGGGAGCUGAGAAGCAGCAGCCUCAUUUGUUUCUGGUGUCAUCAUAGGUGGACCUCUGGCUGUUGGGUUUCUCACCUGAGCUGGGGCAGGUGGGUGACCCACCACCCUCCCGCCCUCUUUCCUUCCGGAGAUGACUGAGCCACGUCCAGCACCACGGACAGCUCCCCGUGGAAAUCAGAUUUUUCUUCAUGUGAGGACUCUGAAUGACGGAUCGCUCCAAUAGGAGAAAGGGUGAAAGUGAGAUUUUGGGAAGGAGUCAACCUUAGCAAACAUUUGUUGAAGCCCUACUAUGUGAUGAGUGCCAUAUGAAGAAGGUUGAACACAAAGCUGCUGUGGAGAGCUAGCUGUCUACAGAGAAGGCAGACACCAUGCCAUGUUCCACAGGCCCACACAGAGUGCUGGUGAGCCCUGGAAAAGGGCCUUCAGGCUACGUUAGGGAGCUGAGGAAGGCUUCCUGGAUAAGCGACCCAGAACAUUCUGCAAUCUUAUUCCUGCCUUAGGAAGUCCUUCCCAAAGUCUAACCAAGACUUGUACUGCUACAGCACCAGUUCUUUGACCUGUGGCUUGACAUGGCUGAGGGGAGAGCACCCCCAAAGAGAGGCAGGAGAGAGGGUCUUCUGGGACUUCUGCUGGGGUCCUGUUGGAAACCAGCCUUUUCCUUCCCACUACCAUGGAGUUCCAACAGAGGCCAUGAAGGAUGCUGGGAUGGGUCUUAGCAAUGAAGCCCAGGCUGGCCUCCAACUCAAGAAUCCACCAUCUGUCUGCUUCAGCUUCUCAAGUUCUGGGAUCGCAGGUUGGCUACAUGUGUCUGUCUUUGAGUCGGUUUCCCUCACCUCAAGAAAGGCAGGAGCAGCCUGGAGUAGGCAUCUACUUGAUUCUUACAAAAAGUAUAAGCAGCUACUUCACCCAGUUGGCUGUGUUCCUCCAAGAAACCUUCCUGGGUUGGCUAAAAGAUGAGAUUCAGCUGCAGCGGAUCAAAGUUGAUGAAGAUGGAGCAGAAAUGGGAAGAACCCAGCCCCUGGCCUGGGCAACUCAGGCCACCUACAGUCACUGGGAUCAAACCUCCCUGGACCCAUUGCUCCUAUGUCUAUCAUCUGCCCAUUCUGGCCAUCAGUUUACCCUGUCAUUUCAGCUGGGACUCCUGUGUCCUCAGAGAGGGAAAUCUCAUCUCAUGUUCUAAUAAAAUCUUUUGAAUAUUUAGUGAUAACAA